Non-coding RNA from Pelobates cultripes (western spadefoot toad), 245 nucleotides. NCBI's taxonomy places the organism in Eukaryota, Metazoa, Chordata, Amphibia, Anura, Pelobatidae. The record is from the annotation of a GenBank genome assembly.
GGGAAGGGGUGACUAGUGACAGAGUGAGGAAGGGGGUGACUAGUGACAGAGGGAGGGGUGACUAGGGACAGAGUGAGGGAGGUGGUGACUAGUGACAGUCACCACCUCCCUUACUCUGUCACUGUCACCACCUCCCUCACUCUGUCACUGUGUCACCCCCUCCCUCUGUCACUGGUCACCCACUCCCUCCCUCACUCUGUCACCAGUCAUCCCCUCACUCUGUCACUAGUAACCCCUUCCUUCCC